AGGAAAGCCACUGAGGCUAGGCUGGUCUCAGGGGUGUCCCUGCAUGGAGGACAUUGCAGAUGAGCCAUCGCGUGCUGCUGUGAAGAAUAGUAGACUGAGAUCUCUACAAGAAGAAGAAGAGCAGAAGGAGGCCUGGAAGACAGAUGUGGGACAUGUGCUCCUGUGGGAUCUGUCCCAGGACCUGGCCCAUUCUAAGAAAAGAUUCUGACACCAUGGAAGGAGGUAUGCUGCUGCUGUUCUAAUAUAUUUUGUUGUGACAUAUAUACAUACACAUACUAUGUUUUAGCCAUGACUAUAUCCCAUCUUUAUGUUGUAUCCCCUCCCACUCCUUUUAUUCCCAGUGAUUUUCUCAACUAAUCUUCUUCCUAUUUUCAUGGGUUUGGGGAUUUUUGUCUUGUUUUUGUCAACCCAUAACUUUAAUUAAGGUUACCUUGAGGAGCAUGUGUUGGGGACUGAUUUAACAAAUCCCCACCUGCCCAACUAUUUUCAUCACCAUCACUAUCAAGUACCCUGUUUUUGUUCCCUCCAACCACUCCUGAUCCCAAUACUGAGGUAGAACCUACCCAACUCCAGUGUCUUAGGGUUUUACUGCU
Non-coding RNA from Mus caroli (Ryukyu mouse), 593 nucleotides. The record is from RefSeq and is a predicted model, not a curated record. Lineage: Eukaryota; Metazoa; Chordata; Mammalia; Rodentia; Muridae.